GGUGUAUGAAAAUAUUUUAUGAUUUAGAUGUCAGUCUGGCAUGUUUCAUUUGACCGUGACCAUUUUUAAUGGUUUCAUUGCUCAAUGUUAAGUUUUUGAUUUUGGUCUGAUUUUUUUAUACUAUAAGCAAUAGGUCAACUAUAUUUGGUGUAUGGAAUGAUUGUAAGGUUUAUGUGUCCAACCAGAAAUUGUCAUUAUUUUGUUUCUUAGAAACUACAUGCAAUAGAUCAACUAUAUUUAAGGGCAUACCAUAGUUACAAGGGAGGUAAUGGCGUUGCUAUCGUGAAUUGUUAUUUUCACGACGUCAAACUAUGACUUAUCGGGAAAAGAUUCAGUUUUCAACUGAUUUUUAUCAUUCAACUUUUUUAACUAGAAAAUAAGUUCAUGGACCCCUCUUUUUUAAAAUGCCAUUUGGUUUGAUUACGCGAGAAGAUUAUUUUUGCCAAUUUUCAUGAAAACGUAAAUAGUGCAAUUUUUUAAAAUUUAAUAAAUAUACAGCAAAAA
This 504-nucleotide long non-coding RNA is filed under the name Mytilus galloprovincialis (Mediterranean mussel). Lineage: Eukaryota; Metazoa; Mollusca; Bivalvia; Mytilida; Mytilidae. The record is from RNAcentral.